This 292-nucleotide long non-coding RNA is filed under the name Brassica napus (rape). Its description in RNAcentral is "long non-coding RNA (BNAP_LNC025858)". The record is from RNAcentral. Lineage: Eukaryota; Viridiplantae; Streptophyta; Magnoliopsida; Brassicales; Brassicaceae.
CUUUUCACCAUCUUAUUCCAUCUGCGCCACCGCCCUGCAGUCUCUGAUCUAACCGCAAAUGUCAAGCCUACCAUCGCUCUCUCUCAGGCUUCGAACCCUUUCAGUAUUAAAGCCAGAGACUCUCACUUCCAUUCUAGACCCUCUCAGUCAGAGCCUCGAUAGGUUCUCUCUGUCCGGAUUCGUGGUUCAAGAUUACACUGAUUCGUAUGAGAGUAACGAAUGGUAGCAGCAACAGGCGUGAUGGGUUAUCAGUAUCUGAGCUUCUGAUGUCCCCGGAGAUUUUCAAAGCUGU